Long non-coding RNA from Lucilia sericata (common green bottle fly), 593 nucleotides. RefSeq lists it as uncharacterized. The record is from RefSeq and is a predicted model, not a curated record. Lineage: Eukaryota; Metazoa; Arthropoda; Insecta; Diptera; Calliphoridae. The transcript is spliced from 3 exons.
UCGAGGUGUUAAAAUCGUAAGCUAAACGGGAAAAAUUUUAUUUUUUUGCGUAAAAAUUAAAAAAAUCUUUUUAAAAAAUCUAAAAAAAAUUAUAAAUUCGAAAAAAGGAAAAAUUUUAAACAAGUAAAACAAAGUUAAUACUAUUUAAUAAAACGAAAUAAUUUUUUUUAAAUUUAAAGCAUAUCAAAUUUUAUUUAUAAAGGAAAUAUAGCAAAGCAUACAAAAUUUUUUCUAAAAGCCAAAUAAAAGUGUUUUUUUUAUAGAAAUUAUAAAAUAAAUUUCUUAAAGUUUUAAACAAGUUUUAAGCUUUUUGUGGGUUUUACUUAAAACAUAAAGCAAAUUUCUUAAUUAUUUUUCAUUAAAAAAGAAAAUUAGUGAUUUUAAUUAACAAUUACUUGAGCAACGAGUAUAACUCAAUUUUCAAAAAUUAAAGAGAGUGAGUUGAGGAGUGUUGGUGGUUAAUUGUUUACUGCAUAUAGUGAUUAUUUUCAUAGAAUAUUUGCAGCGUAUUUUGAAAAACAAUCAAAUAUUUUUGAAUCCUAAGAUUUUCGCCAAACAUUUGUAUCUACAUUUGGAAAACUUAACGAAGUAAG